AUUGAACGCUGGCGGCAGGCCUAACACAUGCAAGUCGAACGGUAGCACAGAGAGCUUGCUCUCGGGUGACGAGUGGCGGACGGGUGAGUAAUGUCUGGGAAACUGCCUGAUGGAGGGGGAUAACUACUGGAAACGGUAGCUAAUACCGCAUAACGUCGCAAGACCAAAGAGGGGGACCUUCGGGCCUCUUGCCAUCAGAUGUGCCCAGAUGGGAUUAGCUAGUAGGUGGGGUAACGGCUCACCUAGGCGACGAUCCCUGGCUGGUCUGAGAGGAUGACCAGCCACACUGGAACUGAGACACGGUCCAGACUCCUACGGGAGGCAGCAGUGGGGAAUAUUGCACAAUGGGCGCAAGCCUGAUGCAGCCAUGCCGCGUGUAUGAAGAAGGCCUUCGGGUUGUAAAGUACUUUCAGCAGGGAGGAAGGUGUUGUGGUUAAUAACCGCAGCAAUUGACGUAC
Molecule: ribosomal RNA, 458 nt
Filed under: uncultured bacterium
Lineage: Bacteria
Description: bacterial SSU rRNA
Rfam family: Bacterial small subunit ribosomal RNA
Source: RNAcentral